RNAcentral lists this ribosomal RNA (1141 nucleotides) under Bifidobacterium sp. Its description in RNAcentral is "bacterial SSU rRNA". It matches the Rfam family "Bacterial small subunit ribosomal RNA", at positions 60 to 1212 of the family's 1533-position model. The record is from RNAcentral. Lineage: Bacteria; Bacillati; Actinomycetota; Actinomycetes; Bifidobacteriales; Bifidobacteriaceae.
AGUCGAACGGGAUCCAGGCAGCUUGCUGUCUGGUGAGAGUGGCGAACGGGUGAGUAAUGCGUGACCAACCUGCCCCAUGCUCCGGAAUAGCUCCUGGAAACGGGUGGUAAUGCCGGAUGUUCCGCACCAUCGCAUGGUGGUGUGGGAAGGAUUUUAUCGGCAUGGGAUGGGGUCGCGUCCUAUCAGCUUGUUGGUGGGGUAGUGGCCCACCAAGGCUUCGACGGGUAGCCGGCCUGAGAGGGUGACCGGCCACAUUGGGACUGAGAUACGGCCCAGACUCCUACGGGAGGCAGCAGUGGGGAAUAUUGCACAAUGGGCGCAAGCCUGAUGCAGCGACGCCGCGUGCGGGAUGACGGCCUUCGGGUUGUAAACCGCUUUUGAUUGGGAGCAAGCGAGAGUGAGUGUACCUUUCGAAUAAGCACCGGCUAACUACGUGCCAGCAGCCGCGGUAAUACGUAGGGUGCAAGCGUUAUCCGGAAUUAUUGGGCGUAAAGAGCUCGUAGGCGGCUUGUCGCGUCUGGUGUGAAAGUCCAUCGCUUAACGGUGGAUCUGCGCCGGGUACGGGCAGGCUAGAGUGCAGUAGGGGAGACUGGAAUUCCCGGUGUAACGGUGGAAUGUGUAGAUAUCGGGAAGAACACCAAUGGCGAAGGCAGGUCUCUGGGCUGUUACUGACGCUGAGGAGCGAAAGCGUGGGGAGCGAACAGGAUUAGAUACCCUGGUAGUCCACGCCGUAAACGGUGGAUGCUGGAUGUGGGGCCCUUCCACGGGUUCCGUGUCGGAGCUAACGCGUUAAGCAUCCCGCCUGGGGAGUACGGCCGCAAGGCUAAAACUCAAAGAAAUUGACGGGGGCCCGCACAAGCGGCGGAGCAUGCGGAUUAAUUCGAUGCAACGCGAAGAACCUUACCUGGGCUUGACAUGUUCCUGACGACUGCAGAGAUGUGGUUUCCCUUCGGGGCAGGUUCACAGGUGGUGCAUGGUCGUCGUCAGCUCGUGUCGUGAGAUGUUGGGUUAAGUCCCGCAACGAGCGCAACCCUCGCCUUGUGUUGCCAGCGGGUUAUGCCGGGAACUCACAAGGGACCGCCGGGGUUAACUCGGAGGAAGGUGGGGAUGACGUCAGAUCAUCAUGCCCCUUACGUCCAGG